Molecule: ribosomal RNA, 253 nt
Filed under: uncultured bacterium
Lineage: Bacteria
Description: partial 16S ribosomal RNA
Rfam family: Bacterial small subunit ribosomal RNA
Source: RNAcentral
UACAGAGGUCUCAAGCGUUGUUCGGAUUCAUUGGGCGUAAAGGGUGCGUAGGCGGUGAGGUAAGUUGGAUGUGAAAUCCCAGGGCUUAACCCUGGAACUGCAUUCAAUACUGCCUUGCUAGAGUACUGGAGAGGAGAUUGGAAUUCACGGUGUAGCAGUGAAAUGCGUAGAUAUCGUGAGGAAGACCAGUGGCGAAGGCGAAUCUCUGGACAGUUACUGACGCUGAGGCACGAAGGCUAGGGGAGCAAACGGG